This 427-nucleotide ribosomal RNA is filed under the name uncultured bacterium. RNAcentral's name for it is "bacterial SSU rRNA". It matches the Rfam family "Bacterial small subunit ribosomal RNA", at positions 355 to 774 of the family's 1533-position model. The record is from RNAcentral.
UGGGGAAUUUUGGACAAUGGGCGCAAGCCUGAUCCAGCCAUGCCGCGUGCAGGAUGAAGGCCCUCGGGUUGUAAACUGCUUUUGUACGGAACGAAAAGCCUCUUUCUAAUAAAGAGGGGUGAUGACGGUACCGUAAGAAUAAGCACCGGCUAACUACGUGCCAGCAGCCGCGGUAAUACGUAGGGUGCGAGCGUUAAUCGGAAUUACUGGGCGUAAAGCGUGCGCAGGCGGUCUUGCAAGACAGUGGUGAAAUCCCCGGGCUCAACCUGGGAACUGCCAUUGUGACUGCAAGGCUGGAGUACGGCAGAGGGGGAUGGAAUUCCGCGUGUAGCAGUGAAAUGCGUAGGUAUGCGGAGGAACACCGAUGGCGAAGGCAGUCCACUGGGCCUGUACUGACGCUCAUGCACGAAAGCGUGGGGAGCAAACA